This 436-nucleotide long non-coding RNA is filed under the name Carica papaya (papaya). Its description in RNAcentral is "long non-coding RNA (CPAP_LNC001758)". Lineage: Eukaryota; Viridiplantae; Streptophyta; Magnoliopsida; Brassicales; Caricaceae. The record is from RNAcentral.
GUAGCUUGUAUAUUCGAUUUGAAAUUUUCAUACGUUCUAGCCAGGUGGGAGGGGACCGCAUCAAAUUCAAGAAUAUUAAAGUAUGCAUUAAACAGACUUGAGGAUUCUUUAGUUAUUUUCGAAGGUAAUCAAAAUAUAUUGAAUUUUAAUAAGUAAUGUAUAAGUUUGAAGAAAAAGUUACAACUCAAUUUAUUCAUUGUUUGUAGAUAAGUUAUACCUUGUGGAUGCUAGUUUCAUCUUGCAGGGUAGAAUAAUUACUCCAUAUAGGGGAGAAUGUUACCAUUUGAGUGAAUACUCAAGGAAUCCACCACGCAAUGCUCGUGAGCUAUUUAAUCUUUGACAUGAGCCUUUUAAUCUUCGACAUGCUUCUUUACGUAAUGCAAUUAAAUGUGCCUUUGGAGUUCUUAAGAAAUGUUUUUCAAUUAUUUCAAUCUCU